GUGGGGAAUCUUCCGCAAUGGACGAAAGUCUGACGGAGCAACGCCGCGUGAGUGAUGACGGCCUUCGGGUUGUAAAGCUCUGUGAUCGGGGACGAAUGGCUGGUAUGCUAAUACCAUAUCAGAGUGACGGUACCCGAAUAGCAAGCCACGGCUAACUACGUGCCAGCAGCCGCGGUAAUACGUAGGUGGCAAGCGUUGUCCGGAAUUAUUGGGCGUAAAGCGCGCGCAGGCGGCUUCUUAAGUCCAUCUUAAAAGUGCGGGGCUUAACCCCGUGAUGGGAUGGAAACUGGGAGGCUGGAGUAUCGGAGAGGAAAGUGGAAUUCCUAGUGUAGCGGUGAAAUGCGUAGAGAUUAGGAAGAACACCGGUGGCGAAGGCGACUUUCUGGACGACAACUGACGCUGAGGCGCGAAAGCGUGGGGAGCAAACAGGAUUAGAUACCCCUGUAGUCC
This 450-nucleotide ribosomal RNA is filed under the name uncultured bacterium. Its description in RNAcentral is "partial 16S ribosomal RNA". It matches the Rfam family "Bacterial small subunit ribosomal RNA", at positions 354 to 796 of the family's 1533-position model. The record is from RNAcentral.